UAAGGUGGUUAUAGCAACGGGGCUCACCUCUUACCAUUCCGAACAGAGUAGUUAAGCCCGUUAGCGCCAAUGGUACUACAAUCGUGGGAGAGUAGGUCGCCGCCUUCU
Molecule: ribosomal RNA, 108 nt
Organism: Aquimarina spongiae
Lineage: Bacteria; Pseudomonadati; Bacteroidota; Flavobacteriia; Flavobacteriales; Flavobacteriaceae
Source: Rfam